UUUAACGGCCGCGGUAUUUUGACUGUGCUAAGGUAGCAUAAUCAUUAGUUUUUUAAUUGAAAGCUGGAAUGAAAGGUUUGAUGAAAAAAUAACUGUCUCAACUUAAAUAUUUUGAAUUUUAUUUUUAAGUUAAAAAGCUUAAAUUUUUAUAAAAGACGAGAAGACCCUAUAGAGUUUUAUAUUUUAUUUAUAAGAUUAAAAAUGGGAAUUUAAAUUUAUUUUAUUAUAAAAUAUUUAAUUGGGGUGAUUGAAAAAUUUAAUUAACUUUUUUUAAUUAAAAUUCAUAGAUAAGUGGGUAUCUUGAUCCUUUUUUUAAGAUUAAAAGAAAAAUUACCUUAGGGAUAACAGCGUAAUUUUUUCUAAGAGUUCUAAUCGAAGAAAAAG
RNAcentral lists this ribosomal RNA (384 nucleotides) under Ips duplicatus. Its description in RNAcentral is "partial 16S ribosomal RNA". Lineage: Eukaryota; Metazoa; Arthropoda; Insecta; Coleoptera; Curculionidae. The record is from RNAcentral.